RNAcentral lists this ribosomal RNA (253 nucleotides) under uncultured bacterium. RNAcentral's name for it is "partial 16S ribosomal RNA". It matches the Rfam family "Bacterial small subunit ribosomal RNA", at positions 524 to 776 of the family's 1533-position model. The record is from RNAcentral.
GACGAACCGUGCGAACGUUGUUCGGAAUCACUGGGCUUAAAGGGCGCGUAGGCGGAUCACCAAGUCCGGGGUGAAAUCUUUCGGCUUAACCGGAAAACAGCCCUGGAUACUGGUGGUCUCGAGCGAGGUAGGGGCCGUUGGAACUUCCGGUGGAGCGGUGAAAUGCGUUGAUAUCGGAAGGAAGACCAGUGGCGAAGGCGGGUCUCUGGACAGUUCCUGACGCUGAGGCACGAAGGUCAGGGGAGCAAACGGG